CCUACGGGAGGCAGCAGUGGGGAAUUUUGGACAAUGGGGGAAACCCUGAUCCAGCCAUUCCGCGUGAGUGAAGAAGGCCUUCGGGUUGUAAAGCUCUUUCGGCAGGAACGAAACGGCGGACUCUAACAUAGUCUGUCAAUGACGGUACCUGAAGAAGAAGCACCGGCUAACUACGUGCCAGCAGCCGCGGUAAUACGUAGGGUGCGAGCGUUAAUCGGAAUUACUGGGCGUAAAGCGUGCGCAGGCGGCUUUGUAAGACGGAUGUGAAAUCCCUGGGCUUAACCUAGGAACUGCGUUCGUGACUGCAAAGCUAGAGUGCGGCAGAGGGGGGUGGAAUUCCUGGUGUAGCAGUGAAAUGCGUAGAGAUCAGGAGGAACACCGAUGGCGAAGGCAGCUUCUUGGGCCGUUCCUGACGCUGAGGCGCGAAAGCCAGGGGAGCGAACGGGAUUAGAUCCCCCUGUAGU
RNAcentral lists this ribosomal RNA (464 nucleotides) under uncultured Rhodocyclaceae bacterium. RNAcentral's name for it is "partial 16S ribosomal RNA". It matches the Rfam family "Bacterial small subunit ribosomal RNA", at positions 338 to 794 of the family's 1533-position model. Lineage: Bacteria; Pseudomonadati; Pseudomonadota; Betaproteobacteria; Rhodocyclales; Rhodocyclaceae. The record is from RNAcentral.